Molecule: non-coding RNA, 2341 nt
Organism: Vicugna pacos (alpaca)
Lineage: Eukaryota; Metazoa; Chordata; Mammalia; Artiodactyla; Camelidae
Source: RefSeq, a predicted model, not a curated record
AGUCCAAGACACUUCUGAAUGCUAGUGGCACCUCCACUCCCCACAGCGUGGCCAGUCCCCUGGACACCCUCACCUUGUGUCCUUUACUCACUCAGGCCUUUGGGAGAAGAGCACACAGGGCCAGGAGGCGGAAAGGCUGACGUGGACCCCGGCCAUGGGAUGCCCUGUUAUGGUCAGUGCUGUCCCCAGAGCAGAGGCCGGCACUGGGCAGAGCCAGCCUCCCAGGACAAUCUGCUUCCCAUCCUAAGAAUUCGUCCCUGCUUCUUUUCUCGUUUUUUAGACAUUUGAAGGUCAAGCCUGGGCCACAGCUUCUGAAAGAACCCAGUUUCAUUCUCACUGUAGUCACCUGAUGGACCCAUUUCCAGAAAGGCUGGCCUCAAGCCCUGCCCAGAAUUCCCCUGCACCCACACCAGCCCCGUGGGGCUCCCCCGCUCCCCUCCUGGAAGUGCACAGCCAGCGCCGUCCCUCCCUCAGGGCAAUCCCCAAGAAAAGGAGAAAGACACGGGUGGAGGCAGCAGCCAGCACUCCGGGACCAGGGCCCCUGCCCCCCAGCAAUGUGAGCCCACCCUUGCCCAGGCCCUCACACAGACCGUAGACUGCACUGGGGAAGAGAGUCUGGUGGCGGCCAACAUGUGCACACCGCGGCAUUCUCUGCAAGCAAAGGUGGAAAAGGAUGGUCUUCCCGUUCACUUGUGUUCUUGCAGACUUGGGAAGCACGCAGAAGAAAGUAAUAAAAAAGUGUAGGGGGCAGGGAGUGGGGUGUGGUCCCUGUACCUCAUCCCACAGGUUUUAAAACCACUGAUUCAAAAACAUUUGGUUUUCAGCUACAGAAGGACAUUUCAGAAGCUCUGGAAAACACAGAAAAGUACCAAGAAGAGGGUAAAGGUCAUCUCACAUCUUGGUGAAAGGACAAGCUCUGCCAAGAUUCCCCACUCAACACCCACCUCCCUUCCGCCAAUCUCAGAAAACUGAUGCCACCCCACACGCGGAGCCCAAGGCCUGAAGGACAGCAUCGCAGGCAGCACUGCAGGUGCCUAAGCUGCCCUGGCCAUCCCGGGCCUCUGAUCGCGGGGCUGACCUGGCCCCAGGGUCUUUGCCCCAGUUUCUCACCCGGACCAGCUCCCUCCCUCCCCAGGCGCUGGGCACAGCCUGGAUCCUCGGCAGAUCUUAGGGCCUCGGGAUAGAGACGGUCUCUCUCCUGUUAGCCCUGAGUUAAGUGGGCCCCUCCCCCACGCCCCGUGGUGGCCUGUGCACUUGUGUCCUCCUCCCGAUGUGGGUCCCUGGAGGGCAGCAGCGGCGGGUCCGCGCGCGCCCUCUGCCGGCCGCACCCGGAACUGCAGCCCUGGCCCCCUGACUCCCUGCCGGACCGCCCGCCCAGACACCGCGCACCGGCUCCCCGUGGGCACCUCGCUCCACCGCCUCACUUCGAACCCGCAGACCAUAAGAUGGCCCUCCUCACACUCGGACCCAGCAAGUGAAUCACUCGGCCGAAAUCCAGGGCCCGUGUCCGGGAGGCCCGGGGUAGUCCUCCGAGGAUCUCCCUGCACUCACCUCGCAGCAGGUGCACAAAGUUAGGAAGAACCUCCACUUCCCAGUACAUCCAAGAGACUGUGAUUCUGUCGGUGUCUUUGGUUGAAGCCGAUCCUAGUGCCUCUGAGACAUCUUGCCUGUGGAAAAUUGUAAAUUCAAGUGAAAAACUACAAGUAGCUGUAAAGAAUAAUGGAAUUGAAGUAACUCGAGUGUAGUGGCCAUGCUGACGUCUGCUUUGCUUUAAGUGCAGGAGCACAGAGUUCCACCAGGGUCUGAAGUACACGCUGCACUCAAAUGUUAGGAACGUCCCCCUGAAACGUAGGGUGUAGCUGAUUUCCACAUGGGAUACAAGUCUUGCUGGCCUGUCCUGGGGCAGAUAUGUCUUCUAUGGCUACCAACUACCCACCUCACAACACCCGGAACUGGAAGUAUGCAGGAGAGAAGGAGAAACAAGGUUUGUCCUAUGAACCAGAAGGGAGACUGCAGAACUGUCAGCAGAGGACACCGGGAUAGAAUGUGUUAUUAACUACGGAAACCUCAGCCAAAGUUGGAGUCUGAACAGGCCCGCAGGGGGCGUGCAUGUCAAUAAAGCCAUCUCUGCCUACAUUCCCCACAGGAAGGUGCCUCUAAUUACUGUCCAGGAGGAGGAAGGAAACGUCCCUCUGCCCCAGGAUGGCCCAGCUAAUCACAGACCUCAGCGGCCCAACCAAUGGGAAGCCUCCAUACUCUGGGACCCCAAACUCUCCAGUGGGCUCUUUGGUUGUCACAGCCCUUCCCAACUCCCCCUUUUCCCUAUAAUAAAGCAAGUUCU